This 74-nucleotide transfer RNA is filed under the name Enterococcus sp. RNAcentral's name for it is "tRNA-Ile". It matches the Rfam family "tRNA". Rfam says of the family: Transfer RNA (tRNA) molecules are approximately 80 nucleotides in length. Their secondary structure includes four short double-helical elements and three loops (D, anti-codon, and T loops). The record is from RNAcentral. Lineage: Bacteria; Bacillati; Bacillota; Bacilli; Lactobacillales; Enterococcaceae.
GCGGGUAUAGCUCAGUAGGUUAGAGCACCAAACUGAUAAUUUGGGGGUCGGUGGUUCAAAUCCACCUAUCCGCA